Molecule: long non-coding RNA, 3267 nt
Filed under: Panax ginseng (ginseng)
Lineage: Eukaryota; Viridiplantae; Streptophyta; Magnoliopsida; Apiales; Araliaceae
Description: long non-coding RNA (PGIN_LNC010198)
Source: RNAcentral
GUAGGAGACAGGUGGAUGCGUUGAGUGGUCCUUUGGAGUUGUUUGAGGGGCUGCAAAAGAGGCGUUUCGGAGAGAAUGUUGCCGGAUUGUUAAACGCGGUGAGUUUAAGGAACUUUUCUCUCUCCUCUUUGCCUUUAUCCACUUCUCAAUCUCCUGCAGGUCUCUAUUCGUACCCACAAACAUAAUGUUCUGUAAUUGGAUUUGGGUGGUGCCUUUUGCAUUUGAUAAAUGUUUGAGUUGCGUAAUUCAAAACACCACCCAAACUAGGGGUUGCAUAGUGGAUUCAGACUUCAGAAUCUUCCUAGUUUCGGUCAUUCAAAUCUACCAUGGGAACCUAGAGUUUUCUCUUUAACGCAUUAAUCUCCAGGUAUAAUUUCUUAUACCCACUUCUUAAAGGAGUUUGAUUUAUGCCCUUCUUCUAUUUAGCUUAUGCUUUACAUGAUUACAGUUUAUAUUCUUACUGAACAUACUGUUAGGUUUACCAAUCUUCUGUUUUGCAAUGUUAAUAUUAGUAUAUGUGCACAUAUGUUAAUUGUUCUUAAUAUUACCAUUUCUAGUUUAACAAAAGAUUCAAUCUUCACCUAUGCAAUUGAACCCCACCCCACCCCACCCCACCCCACCCCAUACCUGUUGCAUAUGUUAUUUAUGAAUACCCAAAAUUAAAAAGCCCAUCACCCUGGCGCCUCUCUUUCUGACUAGAUACAACCCUAUGUUUUGAUUGUUUGCACCCAAUUGCAUCUCCAUAAACUUAAACCUGCGCUCUUACACUUGGGAAGAAAAGGACAUGGAGGUUGAAUCAAGAAAUGACCCCUUCAUUUGUUUUUUCCCAAGAAAUAUGUUUCAUAAAUAAGUGUUACUGCAACUGUUUUAUAGUACAGAAUUACUUGUCUAGUUAUAUUAGUAAUAUUUAUUAAGCCAGAGUUGGAGAUUGGGUUACCCUCUUUCUGAAGCUGUGUUACACAUUUUUAUUGAAACAAGUGUUACCUUAUCACUCAAACAUGGAUAAAUAACUACAAUUUACUCCUAAGUCCCAAUAUUCACAAGUCUUCCACCCCCUUUCUAAUAACCACUAAAUUUAAACUAUUGAAAAAUAAAUCAUCAACCAUGGAAAUAAAGGUGUACAGUGCACAUUGUUGUGUGUAUAUGACAUUACUAGUCACGUACUAAAUUUUUUGGUACAUAGCGAUGUGGAUUGCUGACCUCAGUAACAAAACAAUUCACUGUUUGGUAUAUUACAGGGAUUUAUUCGUCACCUACUACACUUUUUCUUUUUUGAUUAUUAAGCAAUUUUAUUAAAUGAGAGAGGAAGAUCUCAAAAAUCAUAAGGUUUCCGGAAGGAAUCGAAAUAAUUUCAAGCAUUGCUGGAGAAAACGAGAAAUAUAACAUUAGACAAAGCACCCAGAAGCAAAGAACCUCUAUCAACACGAAGAAUAUAGAUCAUGAUUUUAAGUUACAGUCGUGGUAGGAAUCGUUGAUGCAGUAGUGAUCGUGGUGACGUGGAUUGAAGCAAAUAUUAUGUAACAGACAUAAAAAUUUGAGUCGUGAAUGAUGUUCAUCUGGAUACAUUUCGAACACAAUUUCACUUUCACUCUAUAGCUUUAGAAUCAUGCCAGCUGCCAUUAACAUAGAUAAAAAAAUCAACGGUAACCCUUCCGUUUGUAUCAGUAGAAACUUGUACAUUCCAUGAUGAAACUCAGGUAUUCAGUGAGAAACACAGAUUAUCUAUUUUCCUCCUGAGCACUCACAACUCCUCUGAACCAAGUAUAGUGGUAUAAUUUAGAAGUUCAAGGCCUAAAAAGCUUGGGAGAUGUGCAAAGACAAAAGUAUUGGAAAAUUAAUCUGAUUAAUUUUUGGUAGAUCUAUGUCAAAGCUAAUUUCCUACUUGGUGUAUCUGGAAAGUAUAAGGAAGAGAAGAAAGAUUUAUGGAUCAUGUUGACUCUAAAAAGUAUAUAUAAGGCUUUGAAACUUUAUAAAGGCUUUGACUUUUAUAAGUUUAUUUAACAUUUCAUACACUACUAGGUAUAUGAGAGCAAGGUCUUAGCUUAAACGCAACCGAAAUUUAGUGUAAUUCUUGGUCACUUUGGCAACAGUUCUAUACGAGAUGAAAUCCGCUCGACUGUAAGGAGAGGAGAUGAAAAUCCGAUUCUACAAGAGAUUGAAAUUAUCCUUAUAUUACUUUGCAAAGAUGGUAUUAUUAUUAUUAUUGGGGAUGAUCUUUAUGAUAUCUGUAAUCCCAAAUAAUUUCUCAGUUGACGUUGGAUAUUGACACAUAAAAUAACGAUAGAUUGUGGCUGUUGAUUUAUUGUUUAUCAUUAUUAUAAUUUCAGUCCUAUCUAACUCUCAGUGAUGUCUUCAUUAGUUAAAAAGGAUCGUCAUUUUGUACGUUUCUUGCAACCAUCAGAUUAUCACAAGCACACUAAACAUGUCAAAGAGAACUAUCAAUUUACAUGUCAACCUAUUACACGUGUCACCAUUCGACUCAUCCUUACCCGCAGCAGUGUUUUUCAUGAGCCUAGCAAACAUAUUAAUGCUUUUAUCAUUUUUUGUGCCAACAUUUUUACUUGUGCUAAGGAAAUUUUUUUUACUUGUGUGAUAAAGUAACUGCUUUAUUUUAUCCUUUUGCCAUAAGUAUUUAGAUAUCCCCUCAUCAAUACAGCACACCGAGAUUUCAUUGUCUGUGUCUUUGUCAGUGAUAUUUAUUAGUUUAGCCAUAUUAUCGAUUACAAGACAUCAGGAUAACUUAUCUUCCAUUUAAAUUUGUUUCGGACCUGUUAAAUUAGAUAUCAAUCUGCCUUAAAAGAUGCAGAUUCGAUGUGCUCUGGUAAUAUGUGGACAGCUGGUGCAGGCAAUGUAAAGGACAACUGUUCCCGAUGUAUCUCAAACAUUUUUGCUUGCUGUCUUAAUGCUAGUGACCUUAUCAAAGGUGAAAUUGCCUGGUGGAUUGGAGAAUUCCUUUGCAAUGCUAAUUCCUUUCGGUUUCAUCCUCCAGAUUGUAUAUAGAAUCUUAACAUUUACUUCCCUUUUAUGUGCUGGCAAUUAUUGACUGUGGCCCUGAUUUACUUUGAUGGCACAUUGGAUAUGUUUCUCAGUUUUAACUGAUCCCUUGCUAUGACUGUUAUAGAUAUGACAAGUGAAGCUUACAAUUCUGAGUCAAACUCACAGCAGCAAAGUGUCACAAUCAACACAAUCAAAUUCAUGACAGUGGAAAAGCUUUAGCUCACAGUCAUGUACAUUAACUUAUGCUAGUUAUGUUUAUGGCAAUUUUGU